CAUAUAGAGACAAACAAGCACACUCGCAUUCACACCUACAGACAGUUUAGAAUCACCAGUUAACAUCAGCAUAUUUUUGGACUGUGGAUGGAAGCCGGAGAACCCGGAGAAAACCAACACAUCCACAGGGAGAACAUGCAAACUCCAUGGAGAAAGAUCCCAGGCCCAGGUUUUGGAGGAAAAAGAAGUAGACUGUUAAAAUUUUCCAAAUGUUGGUCUCCAUGCUUUUCAGCUUGUCCUCAAGCUCCUUUAUCCUGGAACAGAGGACAAUCUCUACAUGUUAAACACUUUAAUACAGGAUCCACACGCAUUAAAACAGGGAGGAACGCCACGUUUGGUUAUUCUGAAGUGAGCUGGCUGUAGAUGUGGUACCUCAGGGAGGAGCACUCCUUCUGGGCCUUUAUGAGGGAAGACUCCAGUUGAUGGACUCUCACUGCCUGGAGCUCCUUUAACUCCC
This is a long non-coding RNA of Amphiprion ocellaris (clown anemonefish), 457 nucleotides long. RefSeq lists it as uncharacterized. The record is from RefSeq and is a predicted model, not a curated record. The transcript has 4 exons. Lineage: Eukaryota; Metazoa; Chordata; Actinopteri; Pomacentridae.